This 84-nucleotide transfer RNA is filed under the name Klebsiella ornithinolytica. RNAcentral describes it as "Raoultella ornithinolytica tRNA-Tyr(gta)". It matches the Rfam family "tRNA". From Rfam's summary of the family: Transfer RNA (tRNA) molecules are approximately 80 nucleotides in length. Their secondary structure includes four short double-helical elements and three loops (D, anti-codon, and T loops). Lineage: Bacteria; Pseudomonadati; Pseudomonadota; Gammaproteobacteria; Enterobacterales; Enterobacteriaceae. The record is from RNAcentral.
GGCGGGGUUCCGAGCGGCCAAAGGGAGCAGACUGUAAAUCUGCCGUCAUCGACUUCGAAGGUUCGAAUCCUUCCCCCGCCACCA